This is a long non-coding RNA of Danaus plexippus (monarch butterfly), 1399 nucleotides long. RefSeq lists it as uncharacterized. The record is from RefSeq and is a predicted model, not a curated record. The transcript has 2 exons. NCBI's taxonomy places the organism in Eukaryota, Metazoa, Arthropoda, Insecta, Lepidoptera, Nymphalidae.
UUGAAGGACUAAGUGUGUUUGUCGUUACACGUGGAACCUGCGGAUAAGCAACAUGCGACAAAAAUACGAGGGCAUGAUAUAGUGGACAGUUCACCGGGAUAGAGCUGUGUACGCUAUACGCUCGCGUUAGUGAGAAACACAACAAACAACGAACAGUCGCUAUAAAAUAAUACUUCGAUAUAUGUGUUGUACAAAAGAAUAUACAAAGUUUUACGAUUCUAUAUUGGAGAGGAAAAAAACGGGACACUACUAAAAGCUCAGGAUACCCUCUCCCUACGAGACCUAAAAUGAAGAAUAUCUUUUAAUGUCCAUCUCAGUCGAGCUGACUCUCGAGUAGCGCUCGUGAACUGAUCACACAACCCCACAUAAAUCAUAUAAAGCAUCAUAACCAGUGUAUAUUAUAUUUAUAUUGUUGUCAUAGUAAAUUUUAAACUUAAUACUAAUUUGUAUAAAUAAUGAUGUAAUACAAGUAAGUCGUAUUUUUUUCUAUAAAUGACCUCGUCCUAAUGUGGUACACGUGGUGGCCGGUUUGCAUAACAUGCGCGCGUGUGGCCUUGAGAGAUGAGCCACCAGGCUAGACGAGCCGAGUCGCGAGCACCUCAUAACACGCUAGUUGUCCGUUUAUAUCAAACGCUACUCAUUACUCGUGGAGCACGUCUCGAAAGCUAUCUAGAACCUAGGUGGAUGACAAACAAACAAACAUCGGCUUUAAAAAUAGAAAAUAAAUUAACUCUGCUUCAACAGCGAGAUACGUCAUGAGACGCUAAAAUGUUGCCCCCGAAGCUGUCUUUGUAAUAAUAUCUAUACAAGAGCUCCACGUGUCGUCGGUCGUCCCAUGGUGUUACGACGUGCCCACGUGCGACCUUCAGACACACAGACAUCAUGGAACUAAAUAAGGAGCACUGAAACAUGCGAUCCACGCGGUACUUCAGUGAAGCAGCACUCGACGGAUGGCUUCGCUUCACUUCACGAUUGUCACUUGUGACCGUUACUGGGACGACUAUUUAUGUCUAUUGACUGUGAUCGAUGUUAUAAAUAAUGAACCUAUCAGAUGAAGCCAGGGAACCCUAUCAAAAGAAACUUUGAACAAAAACAAUAUACAGAGGCGAGAGCGAGCCGGUCACUAAAACACGGCUAGAUGUAUAAUAAUGUCACUUGUUUUUUUUUUCUAACUCCGUCGACACGUUCUCGUAAUGCAAAUGAAAACUUAACAAACAUCAACAAGCAGGAGUUGGCUGUUGGUUCAAUAUUUAACAGAUCGAGCCGCGGCCCGGGCCUGCUGUUCCCUGGUGUUUACUCUGCGAUCAUUUCGAAACUGUAAACACAUCUGACAGAUUUUGACAGUCGUUUGUGUAAACUAUAUAAAUGCUUUAUAUUCAAUAAAACUAUAUUUUUAAAA